Pelobates cultripes (western spadefoot toad) is the source of this 577-nucleotide non-coding RNA. The record is from the annotation of a GenBank genome assembly. NCBI's taxonomy places the organism in Eukaryota, Metazoa, Chordata, Amphibia, Anura, Pelobatidae.
GUGCAAUGUCAUUUGGCAGUUGCUAACACUUUAAGGUAUUGUCAUGUAUAAAUAAGGGCAUUAAUUCAUGGGAUGAAAAUAUAACUUUUUUUUCAAUCUAUUUUUAUUGAGGUAAGCAAGUUUAUAUUACAGAAUGGUGAGUAUAACGUUAGUACAGUUGAUACAUAAGAAAUAAAUAACAUAAGUAAUGCGCUAUCUUAAUUGGUUCAUCAGUGCUCAGAUGCCUUCUUUUACAUGCGUUCUUACAGAUUUUUACUUUGCAUUUAAGACAAGUGUAUACUAGUUCGGUGUUGGUUAUAGUGUCAGCUAAGCCUCAGGUCUCCUCUGAGGUCGUCUAUGUAUUCCCCACUGCACUAGUCGGUCAGGUCAUCCAGACCAUCUCAUGUGGAGUGCUAGAGCGUGUGUGCUGCGUCAAUGCUGUGUGGCGUAGGUUGCUAGGAGUGAAAAUAUAACUUUGCCUCUCUGUAAAUCACUGGUAAGACCACACCUUAGAUAUGCCUGUGCACUUGUUCCACAGAAGGAUAUUAUGGCACUAGCAAAAAUGGCCAGGGUGGCUAGAAAGAAGGAGGAGGAAAAA